RNAcentral lists this long non-coding RNA (633 nucleotides) under Lactuca sativa (garden lettuce). RNAcentral describes it as "long non-coding RNA (LSAT_LNC000060)". The record is from RNAcentral. Lineage: Eukaryota; Viridiplantae; Streptophyta; Magnoliopsida; Asterales; Asteraceae.
GGUUUUUCGCCAACUUCAUCACCGGGCUAUAGCCCGUCGUCCCCCGGGUACAGCCCAUCAUCUCCGGGAUACAGCCCCACCUCGCCUGGUUAUAGCCCAACCUCACCGGGCUAUAGCCCUACAUCUCCGGGUUACAGUCCCACCUCUCCAACUUACAGCCCAAGUUCACCCGGUUAUAGCCCAACAAGUCCUACCUACUCACCCACUUCACCUAGCUACUCCCCUACCUCACCAAGCUACUCACCCACAUCACCUAGCUACAGCCCUACAUCGCCAGCUUACAGCCCGACCUCUCCGGCUUACAGCCCGACCUCUCCUUCCUACAGCCCGACAUCACCAUCCUACAGCCCAACCUCACCCUCCUACAGCCCAACCUCACCCUCUUACAGCCCGACCUCUCCUUCCUACAGCCCAACAUCACCAUCCUACAGCCCGACCUCCCCUUCCUACAGCCCAACCUCCCCUGCUUACAGCCCAACUUCACCUGGGUACAGUCCUACUUCCCCAAGCUACAGUCCUACUUCUCCAAGUUACAGUCCCACCUCACCAAGUUACAACCCUUCAUCCGCUAAGUACAGCCCCUCGUUGGCUUAUUCUCCUAGUAGUCCAUACAGCCCUACAUCCCCCAACUAC